RNAcentral lists this unclassified non-coding RNA (909 nucleotides) under Bombus terrestris (buff-tailed bumblebee). RNAcentral describes it as "misc RNA ENSBTSG00005026615.1". The record is from RNAcentral. Lineage: Eukaryota; Metazoa; Arthropoda; Insecta; Hymenoptera; Apidae.
CUCGUACUACUUAUCGGUACCAGCUUCAGGCGUCUGACCGAACCUAGAAUCGACUUGCGGUUCAUUCAUUCUUCCAGUCUUUAUUGUUUGUGUCAGAAUGUCACGAAUUUUCUGUGUAUCGUGGUCUUAUGCUCAAGAUAUCAGCUGGAUAUUCCUCAUUGUUUCAUCGACACUGAGGAGACACUGAGGUCUGCGUCCUCCUGCGAGAUUCACGAAGCGAUAUUAACGAUAAAGCCGUUGGUGAAAUUUACGAGUCACGAAAAGUAUAAAACAGCGUGUCACUAUAAAACCGGAGGCACUAUUACCGAUAAAACGACGACGUCAACCGAUGGGGCCAGGCCGAAUCGUGAGCGAAUCGUGGGUAAUCCAAGCAAUUUUGUCGUCUAAACGGAUACAAAUAGAACAGCGAUAAUGCAGUGACACGGUUUUGUAUCGGCUGUUCUGUAUCUUCAUGAUUUAAUGGACGUCGAAGUCGGUGCUGCACAGGUAACGGGUGUUUUACGGUAAUAUUAUACAGAGCCAUGCACUCCCAUAGACGCAACGGCAUUGUGCCCGAAUCUGUGAAAAUAGGCUUCCUAACUCUGCUCUGGAACCAUUUUCGAACAAAAGUUAUUGGGACAGGACGAGGACAAAAAGAAGGCUGCUCAAAGUUCCUGGAACGCGUUAAAAGCGGUAGCCUGUAAUCCGACUUUCGGGGAUCGUUCAGAAGAGUAAAACGACACACGCGUGUACUCCGACGGAAUUUCCAUAAUUAGUGGGUGGCAAAGGUACAACUAUUAGCACGCGAAAGUUGGCAAGUUGCUAACUGAUUUGCAUCGAAACGUGGGCCACAUCGUAUCAACAUCGGGCUCGUUCUACUUUCGUUAUUACUUCAUCAGAGCGUGCUUUCCUUGGCUGCGUCGAAUGGAC